GAGCGCGCCCCAAGUCUAUGAUUCCAGCUUGGGCUGCGAAUUUCCACCCAAGACUGGGAGGGGGGAAGGGGCGGGGGACGGGGUUUCCCGAUCUCUCCUCCGAGCUCUAGGCUCGCCUUUCCUCAGCUUCUCGGCUGAGUCUCCGGCCCGCCUCUGGGGAGGCGGGCAGGUAGUCCCGAUGCGGAGCCCCAGGCCUCUCCGCCAGGCGCCUGGAGGGGGCUUUCCAGGAAAAGCCCUGCCUCUGGGCUGCUCCCGGGGUUUUCCUGUGACACCGGCGGGGGAUAAAGCCCACGCCGGGUUUCCCUUGCGGAGCCUCGCAGCAGCCGGGCAAGGAGGGCGUGGGGAAAACUCCGGGAGGCACCAGGCGCGCGGGUGAGACCCAGCCCUUCGAGAUGAUUAAACUGAGGCUAAUGAGGCUCACUAACUUACGGAAGCUCCAAAAGGCGGAGGAAGAGCCUGGGUCUGCAGGCAGGGCCCCAUUUGGAGUCUCCAAACCCAGCAGAUUCCUACCACGAGCUCCUGUACCUGCACUCACCUGAAGGAAGUUGAGUCUCCAUAGAUCUGCUGCUUCUUG
Long non-coding RNA from Mustela erminea (ermine), 574 nucleotides. RefSeq lists it as uncharacterized. NCBI's taxonomy places the organism in Eukaryota, Metazoa, Chordata, Mammalia, Carnivora, Mustelidae. The transcript is spliced from 3 exons. The record is from RefSeq and is a predicted model, not a curated record.